CGCUAGGCCAAUUGUGCGUCGCCCCACGCACCUCCCGGUCGCGGCCGGCUGUGACAGAGCCUGGGCGCGAACCCGGAGUCUGCGAUGCAGUGCCCUAGACCACUGCGCCACCCGGGAGGCCCCACCUGCACCUUAAGUCUAUUUGCACAGAAUCUCUGCAUUCUCACUUCCCUCUCCCUCUCACACACAUACACAACACACAUACCUAUUUAUUAUUUACCACUCUACCUUGCUCCUAACUAGUCACUAUUCACUUACUACUUACUUGUAUAUAACAGUACACUGACAUACAGUAGUAUAUUCACAGUAUUUUUUUAUUACCUUCUUUUUUUAUUAUUGACAUAGUAUUUUGGACUUGUUACGAGAAUUUUCAAUUCCAAUGAUGAUGACUCAACUAUUUCAUAACUUUGACCAAUUCCCAGAGCUCUGAAGUCAGAAAUGCAAAAACAGUCAUUUUAUAACUCCCCCCCACACACACACACAGUUUUAUUACUUUUCUACCAGCCUUGGCAGUUUGGAAGGGCCCUCUUUCCUGUUGUCAGUUUUCAGAGUUACAACAAGGUAAUAUGUAUUUCAGUUGUCCUUUGUUGUCUCAACUCUCACAUUGCUACAUAAUAACACAAUGGCCUAGUCACACACACAUUUCAUACAAUUAUAUGGUUUCAGGGUGGAAUUCUUUAGUCAUUACUUUAAACAUAUAAAUUCCUUUAUCAGGACUGCGUUAGUUUUACCGCUCAUUUUAUUAUUUCUGCAAUGUUGAGGAAGCUCGCAUGUAAGCAUUUUAUUUCACUGUUUACGCUGUAUCCUGUGCAUAUGACGAAUAAACUAUGAUUUAAGUGUG
This is a long non-coding RNA of Oncorhynchus tshawytscha (Chinook salmon), 841 nucleotides long. RefSeq lists it as uncharacterized. NCBI's taxonomy places the organism in Eukaryota, Metazoa, Chordata, Actinopteri, Salmoniformes, Salmonidae. The transcript has 2 exons. The record is from RefSeq and is a predicted model, not a curated record.